UGAUAGCUCAGUCGGUAGAGCAGAGGACUGAAAAUCCUCGUGUCGGUGGUUCGAUUCCGCCUCA
This 64-nucleotide transfer RNA is filed under the name marine eukaryotic metagenome. It matches the Rfam family "tRNA", at positions 5 to 66 of the family's 71-position model. Rfam says of the family: Transfer RNA (tRNA) molecules are approximately 80 nucleotides in length. Their secondary structure includes four short double-helical elements and three loops (D, anti-codon, and T loops). The record is from RNAcentral.